AGAGGCUAGACUUUGCUGAGGCUCUAGCCCCAGGAAUCCUUGACAGGAAGUGUGGAGUUGCUGCCCAGCCUCCCACGCAGUGUAGAGGUGAUGCCUAAUGGGUGGAAAGACAGGGAUUCCAGAAGAUUUGCGAUUGGAAUUUGCUGCUACAAACCAUGCUGAAAGAAUCCAACUUCCAUACUUACAGCAAAAAUGUCAAUCUGCACUUACAGGAAGAGAGCAGAAACAGAGAGAACUCUCAAGUGGCCGUAAUGGAUGGAGCUGAGCCAAUCUGAAGCCAGGAGCCUCCUCUAGUUCUCCAAGAUGGGAGCGGGAUCCCAAGACUUUGGGCCAUCCUCUACUGCUUUCCCAGGCCACAAACAGAAAGCUGGAUGGGAAGUGGAGCAGCUGGGACAUGAACUGACA
Molecule: long non-coding RNA, 405 nt
Organism: Ochotona princeps (American pika)
Lineage: Eukaryota; Metazoa; Chordata; Mammalia; Lagomorpha; Ochotonidae
Exons: 3
Source: RefSeq, a predicted model, not a curated record